UGAGAGUAUACUGAGAAUAAGCAUCGGCUAACUCCGUGCCAGCAGCCGCGGUAAUACGGAGGAUGCGAGCGUUAUCCGGAUUUAUUGGGUUUAAAGGGUGCGCAGGCGGUCAGCUAAGUCAGUGGUCAAAUCGUGAGGCUCAACCUCAUCCCGCCAUUGAUACUGGUUGACUUGAUUGCGGUCGAGGUAGGCGGAAUUCGUCGUGUAGCGGUGAAAUGCAUAGAUAUGACGAAGAACACCGAUUGCGUAGGCAGCUUACCAGGCCGUUAAUGACGCUCAUGCACGAAAGUGCGGGGAUCGAACAGGAUUAGAUACCCUG
This 319-nucleotide ribosomal RNA is filed under the name uncultured bacterium. RNAcentral describes it as "bacterial SSU rRNA". It matches the Rfam family "Bacterial small subunit ribosomal RNA", at positions 470 to 789 of the family's 1533-position model. The record is from RNAcentral.